UUGAAAAGAACUUUGAAGAGAGAGUUCAAGAGUACGUGAAACCGUUCAGGGGUAAACCUAAGAAACCCAAAAGAUCGAACGGGGAGAUUCAUCGUCAGCGGCGCUGGCUUCGCGUCGGUCGGCGAUGUCCCGCGGAGUCCUUGCGGCUCGCGCGCGGGCACGCUACCGUGCGCCGAUGUCCGGCGCUCGUCGUCGUGCACUUCUCCCCAAGUAGAACGUCGCGACCCGCUGGGUGUCGGUCUACGGCCCGGGUGCGGUGUCUGUCGCGUCGCCGGUAAAACGGCACGCGACAAACCCUCGGUCGCCCGGCCGGCUGCUCGGCGGUACGCGCAAGGUAUCAGGCCGCACUAUUCACGGUGCGUCGAGACCGUCGCAAGCGCGCGCCACGGUACUCGGAGGUUACGGACUUCGCGCCGUCCCCGGUCCUGGCCCGCUGUUGGUUACAGUACGGUACACCUUCGACAGGCCUGCGAACGUCUCCCGCGAUCUUCGCGGGAGACCGAUACCGGUCGGCGACGCUACUGCUUUGGGUACUCUUAGGACCCGUCUUGAAACACGGACCAAGGAGUCUAACAUGUACGCGAGUCAUUGGGACUUGUCGCGAGACCUAAAGGCGUAAUGAAAGUGAAGGUCGGCCCUGGCCGUCGAUCUAGGGAGGAUGGGCCGCGUCGCGAUGCGGCCUCGCACUCCCGGGGCGUCUCGUUCUCAUCGCGAGAAGAGGCGCACCCAGAGCGUACACGUUGGGACCCGAAAGAUGGUGAACUAUGCCUGGUCAGGACGAAGUCAGGGGAAACCCUGAUGGAGGUCCGUAGCGAUUCUGACGUGCAAAUCGAUCGUCGGAACUGGGUAUAGGGGCGAAAGACUAAUCGAACCAUCUAGUAGCUGGUUCCCUCCGAAGUUUCCCUCAGGAUAGCUGGCACUCGGCCGUUCCGCACGGAACGCGCGCGAGUCUCAUCUGGUAAAGCGAAUGAUUAGAGGCCUUGGGGCCGAAACGACCUCAACCUAUUCUCAAACUUUAAAUGGGUGAGAUCUCUGGCUUUCUUGAAUUAUGAAGCCACGAGCAUCUCGGAUCAGAGUGCCAAGUGGGCCAUUUUUGGUAAGCAGAACUGGCGCUGUGGGAUGAACCAAACGCAGAGUUAAGGCGCCCAACUCGACGCUCAUGGGACACCAUGAAAGGCGUUGGUUGCUUAAGACAGCAGGACGGUGGCCAUGGAAGUCGGAAUCCGCUAAGGAGUGUGUAACAACUCACCUGCCGAAGCAACUAGCCCUGAAAAUGGAUGGCGCUGAAGCGUCGAGCCUAUACUCUGCCGUCAGCGGCAAGUGGGGCGGCAACCGGGAGCGGGCGUUAGUCUUCUCUCGCGUCGUCACGAAGCCCUGACGAGUAGGAGGGUCGCGACGGUGAGCGCAGAAGGGUCU
RNAcentral lists this ribosomal RNA (1416 nucleotides) under Nylanderia bourbonica. Its description in RNAcentral is "partial 28S ribosomal RNA". It matches the Rfam family "Eukaryotic large subunit ribosomal RNA", at positions 364 to 1413 of the family's 3401-position model. Lineage: Eukaryota; Metazoa; Arthropoda; Insecta; Hymenoptera; Formicidae. The record is from RNAcentral.